Molecule: ribosomal RNA, 399 nt
Filed under: uncultured Escherichia sp.
Lineage: Bacteria; Pseudomonadati; Pseudomonadota; Gammaproteobacteria; Enterobacterales; Enterobacteriaceae
Description: bacterial SSU rRNA
Rfam family: Bacterial small subunit ribosomal RNA
Source: RNAcentral
AUUGAACGCUGGCGGCAGGCCUAACACAUGCAAGUCGAACGGUAACAGGAAGAAGCUUGCUUCUUUGCUGACGAGUGGCGGACGGGUGAGUAAUGUCUGGGAAACUGCCUGAUGGAGGGGGAUAACUACUGGAAACGGUAGCUAAUACCGCAUAACGUCGCAAGACCAAAGAGGGGGACCCUCGGGCCUCUUGCCAUCGGAUGUGCCCAGAUGGGAUUAGCUUGUUGGUGGGGUAACGGCUCACCAAGGCGACGAUCCCUAGCUGGUCUGAGAGGAUGACCAGCCACACUGGAACUGAGACACGGUCCAGACUCCUACGGGAGGCAGCAGUGGGGAAUAUUGCACAAUGGGCGCAAGCCUGAUGCAGCCAUGCCGCGUGUAUGAAGAAGGCCUUCGGGU